AACGAACGCUGGCGGCAGGCCUAACACAUGCAAGUCGAGCGAGGACUUCGGUCCUAGCGGCGGACGGGUGGGUAACGCGUGGGAACGUGCCCGUUACUUCGGAAUAGCCCUCGGAAACUGGAAGUAAUACCGGAUGAGCCCUUUGGGGGAAAGAUCUAUCGGCGAAGGAUCGGCGCGCGUUGGAUUAGGUAGUUGGUGGGGUAAUGGCCUACCAAGCCGACGAUCCAUAGCUGGUUGGAGAGGAUGAUCAGCCACACUGGGACUGAGACACGGACCAGAAUCGUACGGAAGGGAGAAGAAGGGAAUCCUAGAGAAUGAGGGCAACACUGACAUCGCCAUGCCGCGUGAGAGAUGAAGGCCUUAGGGUUGUAAAGCUCUUUGAGACGGGAAGAUAAUGACGGUACAAGCAGAAGAAGCACCGGCUAACUACGUG
This 433-nucleotide ribosomal RNA is filed under the name uncultured bacterium. Its description in RNAcentral is "partial 16S ribosomal RNA". It matches the Rfam family "Bacterial small subunit ribosomal RNA", at positions 29 to 507 of the family's 1533-position model. The record is from RNAcentral.